UGGCGGACGGGUGAGUAACGCGUGGGUAACCUGCCCUGUACAGGGGGAUAACAGUUAGAAAUGACUGCUAACACCGCAUAAGCGCACGGUAAGGCAUCUUAGUGUGUGGAAAUAUUAAUAGGUACAGGAUGGGCCCGCGUCUGAUUAGCCAGUUGGCAGGGUAACGGCCUACCAAAGCGACGAUCAGUAGCCGGCUUGAGAGAGUGAACGGCCACAUUGGGACUGAGACACGGCCCAAACUCCUACGGAAGGCAGCAG
This 258-nucleotide ribosomal RNA is filed under the name uncultured bacterium. RNAcentral describes it as "partial 16S ribosomal RNA". It matches the Rfam family "Bacterial small subunit ribosomal RNA", at positions 96 to 354 of the family's 1533-position model. The record is from RNAcentral.